This 72-nucleotide transfer RNA is filed under the name Tupaia belangeri chinensis (Chinese tree shrew). Its description in RNAcentral is "Tupaia chinensis (Chinese tree shrew) tRNA". It matches the Rfam family "tRNA". From Rfam's summary of the family: Transfer RNA (tRNA) molecules are approximately 80 nucleotides in length. Their secondary structure includes four short double-helical elements and three loops (D, anti-codon, and T loops). The record is from Rfam by way of RNAcentral. Lineage: Eukaryota; Metazoa; Chordata; Mammalia; Scandentia; Tupaiidae.
GCCCCAUAGCUUAAUGGGUAAGGCACUGGUCUCCUAAGCCAGGGCUUGUGGGUUCUGGUCCCACCUGGGGUA